AGUGAACGCUGGCGGUAGGCCUAACACAUGCAAGUCGAACGGCAGCACAGUAAGAGCUUGCUCUUACGGGUGGCGAGUGGCAGACGGGUGAGAAAUACAUCGGAAUCUACUUUUUCGUGGGGGAUAACGUAGGGAAACUUACGCUAAUACCGCAUACGACCUACGGGUGAAAGCAGGGGAUCUUCGGACCUUGCGCGAUUGAAUGAGCCGCUGUCGGAUUAGCUAGUUGGCGGGGUAAAGGCCCACCAAGGCGACGAUCCGUAGCUGGUCUGAGAGGAUGAUCAGCCACACUGGAACUGAGACACGGUCCAGACUCCUACGGGAGGCAGCAGUGGGGAAUAUUGGACAAUGGGCGCAAGCCUGAUCCAGCCAUACCGCGUGGGUGAAGAAGGCCUUCGGGUUGUAAAGCCCUUUUGUUGGGAAAGAAAAGCAGCAGGUUAAUACCCCGCUGUUCUGACGGUACCCAAAGAAUAAGCACCGGCUAACUUCGUG
RNAcentral lists this ribosomal RNA (492 nucleotides) under uncultured bacterium. RNAcentral's name for it is "partial 16S ribosomal RNA". It matches the Rfam family "Bacterial small subunit ribosomal RNA", at positions 29 to 507 of the family's 1533-position model. The record is from RNAcentral.